GAGCAAACCCUGUGCCCUUGGAGAAAAUUGUUUCCCCUUUUCCUCCAGGGAAUCCAGAGCCUGGGCAGCAGCUGUGAAGAGUGGAGAGAAAGGAAGAAGUGGGAGAUGCUGGAAGUGCUUUGGGCGACGUGAGAAGGAGGAUUUGCCCGAAGGAGCUGUUCAAGGGCCCAGCAGCAAACCAGAGACACAAAACCUGCUUAUAUAUAGAAGAAUGUAACCCUGUGUAUGCAGACGUGGACGCGUGCAUGCCUUGUCGAGAGCGUAAGCGACAUUCCCUGUAGAUCGCUGCUGUGAGCAGCCCUGCUCCUGCAGGCUGAGCCUGGCCCUGCUGGCACCACCCCCUGCCCUGCUGCCCCACCCACGCAGCAGGAUGAGGAGGAAUCUACACCCACAUUAGCAACCUGGGAAUCCCAAAGGUGCUGCAGCGCGGGCGCGGCGGGAGCGGGUGCGGAGCAGCUCGGACAGCAGUUUGUGUGUGUAAAUAUUCAUGCUCUGGCACCAGGGGAGAGCAGCUUUCCUAUGACUUUAGUUUCUCUGGUGCUACAUUUAAUAUUUGUCUGGGGCUAAACUGCCUCUCUGUGGUGCUACAGUUUCCCCAAGAGGAUGUUCUGAAACGUGGGACAAGGAAAGAUCUAUUUUGGUUAUUGAUAUUUAUACACAAGAUGGCAAAAAAUAAGACUUGUUGAGAAGGUGCUAUUUUUUUUUCUUUCUUUCAAUCUCUGCAGAAACUAAGACAAAACAAAUAAUCUACCCCAGAACUUUAUAAAACUCCUUUUCUUUGGAGCAGUUCUGUUUCUUUUUGACAGUGUGGAGCUUGGGAAGCAGCAGGCACUGAGGUGGAAAGGACACAAGGCCCUUUCCACUGCAGUGUGCACAUCAAAGUCUGCUAGAGCAGCACUUCCUACAGCUCCAGAGCUGGGAAUUCUCCUGCAUGGUGAUUUAUUCAACCCCAAAUCCCAUGAACCAGGGAAGAGAACUCUUAUCCAGACUGAUCACUAGAGCAGGGGAUAACAGGAGAACUUGGCCUUAGAAGUCAAAGGGCUUUUUUUCAGUCUAGUACUGAGCACUUUUUUCCUUGCAGCCAAAACUACCUGUCAGAUUUUGGGUACCUUCCACAUCCAGCAACCUGUGCACAGAUUUUUAGAAACAUUUUUCCUACCUUCAGAUACUUGCACCAGAAAAUUGACCCUGUCGUGGCAGGGAGGGCAUUUUCAAAGGCAUAAAGGAAUGUUAGAACCCGAUUUCUAAGGGAAAUUUGGCUCCUUGUGUUUUAGAAAUACUUCCCACCCCUCACCCAGCCCAGGAAGAAGCCAAGUGGCCGCUUCUGCAUUUUCCACUGCUGCAGGAGAAAUGUUUCUAAGCAAUGUGAAAGCUAAAUUCUCCCUUUAUCAAAUAUUCACUGCAGUGUUUUGAGCCCCUGCACACAUUUUCCUGGCUGUUAUUGAUCCAAGUCCAUCCCCAAACAGCAGCAAGGGCUCUGCUGGAAGAGCAGAUUGUUCCUAGUGAAGAACCUUGCCCUGCCUUAGGUGAUGUGCAGUGUUGGGAGGGGGGGUGUAGCUCUGUGUAGUUUGUCUGUCCAUACCCUUUGGAUGGUCUCAGAGCCACAGGGACCAGUGAAACAUUUCCCUGCCAUUUUUGGCCUGAUGCUCAGUAAUCCUCAGCAUCCUGAACCCCUUGGUGGCUCAGUCUCCUACAGAAACAUGGACAAAUUCUUCUAACAAAAGGAGGAGCCUCAGCUGAUUCCAGCAGUGCUGCCAGUGCUGGGCAGAGCCUUAAAAAUACCAAUUUCUGCAAAUCCCUGGAAUGUGGGAGUGAAAUUGUGCACGUGGAAUCACACAAGCCCCACCUGAACAGGAACCAUGGAUGUGACACUGGCUGUAGGGGACAGCCCUGCAGCUCUGCCCUGGGACAGGCCCAGAGCUGGGUCACAUCCCUCAGAGGCUCUCCCACAGAUUCCUCACCUUUAUCAGCUCUGAAUGUAAUGAACUUCUCACCUGGAACAGGCAUUAUUCCAUUUUCCCUGUGCACACAGCUUGGCUCUCCUGCUGCCCUGGCUGUUGGGGCUGCAGCCUUCAGGCUGCUCCCAGGGUUUCAAUUCCCUUGGAACAGCACAGCCAAGCAAAAGGAAAGGAAGUUCUGUCCUCCUCACCUCAGGAGAGCCCCCAAAUCUGACCAGCCCCAGUGUAGGGAUUGGCUGAUCUCCCUCAGUCCCAACUCUCUGUGGACAGGCUUGUCUGUAGAAAUUCCCAAACCUCAGAGCUCCCAGAGGAUUGCUCUCCUCAGGGGCUCCAAACAGUCAGCAAAAAAUGGUAAAGGACUUGUCCUGCCCAGCAUGGAACAACCACAUCUAUGGUGGAAACCAGAGCAGGUCUGCCACCCCAAAUCCUGCCUUGUUCCUGGGUUGCUUCACUUCUGCAGUUUCAAAGUGGAUGUUUCACAUGAACCAAGGGUGAAGUUUUGGAGUUUUGUAGCCAGAAUUCCCUGUACAGAACUGGAAUUCCUUAUUUGAGGGUACAGAUUUGUCAAAGCCUUACAUUUUGUGGUGUACUUGCUAUCCUUGAACGCCUCCAUUUUUUAACAAGGAGUGUUUUUAUCCUUUCUACGAGAUCUGCUUUGCCCCUGCUUGGUGUUUGCACGGAAAGGGAAGGGUGCUGUGAACUCCCUGGAAAUUCCCUGUCCCCUCCUGCGGGCAGGAAACCGGCACAGUUCCCCUCUGGCCCUUUUGUUUUCUCCCAGCAGCCGAGCAAUCCCUGGGCUGGGUCAGCUGGGAGGGCGGGGAGGGCUCUCCCGAUGGAGAAACUGAGCCCUCUCAGGUUUCACCAGCGACUCAUGAGCUCAUAGUCUGCGCAGAGCACGGCUGGGAGGGAACUCUUCAUGAAUUUUUAAAGCACUUCUCUGCCAAGACAGCUCCCAGCUCAGCCUGGGAUUCUGUAUUCCAAGGUAAAAGAGCAGCCUGGUGUGGGCUGCUGCUCCUCUGCCACCAGCUCAGCUCCUUUGGAGUGAACUCUGGGCUGCACCAGGGCAGGGCUUGGCCCAUGACUUCCACAUUCCCUCCUCUUCUCCCACAGAAUUAUUUUCAGCAGGUGAAAAAGCAUGGGAUGGGACCAGGCCUCCUGUCAUCCAGCUUGGUGUUCCCAGGAGGGGCAGCAGCCCAGGAAACUUCCAGCAAAUCACCCAAAGCAGGGAGCUGUCAGUGGGGAUGGGGAGAAUCCCAUCCUGCUCCUGCUUCAGAGCAGGGAGGCAGGAACUCCUCUUUGAGCAAUUCCCUUAAAUCCCAAACACUUCUUGAGCCAAUUCAUCUGAUUUGUGAGUCUGUUUUGUUUCUAUAUCACAGUAAAAGUUAUAAAGGUCUCUUAAACCCUCAGCAUGAGCAGGAGCAGUUCCUGCUGUUGAAAUCCAGGGCAAACUGAACUGGUUAAAGUGGUGCAGUGUCUGUCCACAGACAGGCUGGAAUGAGGCAUUCCCAGCUGGAAAACUGCACUGCCCUGUGAAUAACAGCCCAGUGAGGACAGAACAGCACAUCAUGCUCAAUUUCCUACACAACAUCUGUCCCUGAUGUCCACAGGAGCCUGCUAUGCAUAGAACAGACUGGCUGAGGCUCCACACUGAAUCCUGGACACACACUGUCCAUGUCCAACCCCCCUGGCUGUAUCCCAGCUCCCCAGCAGGUGCACAACUUUCCUUGGAGCCAGUUUGCUCCCAGCAAACUUGAUUUUCAAUCCAGGCUUCAAACUCAGCCUCAUUCUUGUGUAACUUUGCUGUGUGUGAGCUGAACUUUCCAUCUCAUGACACCAGGUGAGGAGACUGUGGCCAUGCCAAUCCCAGAUCCAAGGGCUGAGGGAAUUAUAGAUACCCUGGGGAGGGAUCCUCACUGCUGCUCCUGCCUUGGGUUUCCACACCACAAAAUACAAACAGGUGAAUAUUUUUCCCUGACAAUCUUUAUUUGAGUACAGGAGUGAAUUUUGAUGUGACUUCAGGCAAUUACUGAAGUGCUUGAAUUUCCCAAGGUUUUUAAUAUUUACAGGAAGUGCUUUGUAGCUUGAUAAAUAUUCACUGAAAGCAUCUGAAGAUUAAAUGGCCAUUAUUAGUUACAACAUUAUUAAUUACACCUCCAUUAGUUACUCCAUCAGUAGUUACAGGUGGCACCAAGCAGAGCAGACCCAGCUGCAGUGGGAUUUAAUUCCCUGGCUUUUGACAGCAUCCCUUUUCCAGUCAUUCACCAGAGUUUAUCACAAAACCCUCCCAUCCUCAUUAGUCCUGAGGCCACUGCAAACUCCCCAGUCUCUCCCAGGGGCAUUGCCAAGGGAAUGGCAGGCAGGGAAUGCCCAAUUCCUGGCAUUUUGCUGAUCCAGUACCACUGGGAUGUAACUGUGCAGGUUUCCCCUCACCAAAGCAAGGGCAGGGCCUGUGCUCGGAGUCCUGGAGCUCCAGGAGGCUCCUGGUCCUGGCUGGAUGGGGCUUCUCUCUUUUGUAAAAGGAAUUUCAUAUGCUGAGACUCUUUGUACAUAUUUAUAAGGAAUUUAUUAAAAAAAAAAAAAGAAAAAAAAGAAAAAUAACUGUUCAAUGGCUAAAAAAAGGCUCCGGGUUUUAUUUCCUCUCUCAGAGGAAUUUCAUUCCACAGCCUUCCCUGUUUUCCCAUGGAAAUAACAGGUUCCCAGCAGCUGUCAUUGCAACUGAAGUUUCCCCUGGAUGUUUUCUGGUCCAAGUGUCAUGUUCUAGGAGAAGGUAGGACCAUCCUCCCAAAAAAACCCCAAAACUUUAAGAAUACAAACCUACACUUUCCAUUGACUUCCUGCCUUGCCACCAAAUAAAACCAAAAUUUGAAGCAGUGUAUCCCACACUUUCUGUGGAGCUGGGCUCCUACUGAGCUUUUCUCACAUUUCUCCAAACACAUUUUCCAGGAGCAUUUAGGGAAAAAAGAUCAGAAUGAGAAGGAGCUUUUCAAACGGUUUGAAAGCAGAAGCAGCAAGCCUUGUGUUCACUGGCACUGCAGUGACACUGAGGCCUUUCAGGAACUCCCUGCCCAUGGAAUCACUGCUUUCCCCUUUUCCUGCUAAAUAUUCCAGGCUAUCACAUGUAAUAUUUUUAUGCCCAAUGAAAACCUUGCUCCCUGCCAUUCUGAACUCUUCCAUCCCAAAGACAGGGAAGUUACUCCCAUUUUAGAGAGCAAUGAGAUUCCAUGGCUCAGUUCUGCACUGUCACAGGAUCCAUUAGACAAUUUGACAUCACUUUGUUUUGGAAAGCAAAGCUUUUCCUCCUCUGCUUCCCUGGCCCUCCUGAGCCAGGCUUGGCCUCUCCCCAGCUCUGCUCUGCUCCCACCAUUCCUCCCCAGCCACACUGAGCUGUUAUUUUAAUCCUGUUCAUCAGCUCCCGUUGGCUUUAAUUCCUCCCCUGUGGAGUUUCCAUCAGCACAGACUCAGCUCCUUCCCUGAGGAGCCUCCUCCUGCUGCUGGCUGGGGUGGGGCUGCCACCCUGGGCAUUUCCAUGGCAAUGAGCUGGGAAGAUGCUCCUGCUCCUGACAGGGUGGGAGCUGAGGUGGUUUGGGGACAGGGAAAGCUCCAGAACAAACAGCAGCUCCCUCUGAGAACCUCAGCAGGGACCUCAGGCACAGGGAUGGGGCUAAUUCCUGUGAAUUCCUGCCAGGGAUCUCCUUCCCCAGCAGCUCCUGCUGGAGCUCAGGGCUCUGGUUUGCCCUGCUCAGACCCAGCCAGGUCCUGGCAGACACACAGAGUUUGUGAGGUGCUCUUGGGCAGGUGCUGGAUUCCCACCCAGACAAACCCAACUCAACCUUAACCUCCCUCUGCUCUCCACAGAAACUGGGAAACCAGAAAGUCCCAUCAUGAAAGUUAAAGAGGAAAAACACUUCCAGGGAAAGGAAGUUUCAUUUCCAGCUUCACUGGCAGGGUCCUUCCCAAGCUCCCUGGGAUUUUCUUAAGGUGACAGCACGUGCCAUUUGUGGAAUCAACUGGAAAAACAGCAGCUGGGAAAUGACAUUUCUCCAACUGCAGCUUUGGACACAAAGCUCUGCAGCACUGCUUGGGAAGAGUUCUCAGAGAGGUGCUGUAAAAUUCUCUAGAGUUCUCAGAGAGAGGUGCUGUGUGAUUCUAGAGAGUUCUCAGAGAGGUGCUGUGUGAUUCUAGAGAGUUCUCAGAGAGAGGUGCUGUAAAAUUCUAUAGAGUUCUCAGAAAGAGGUGCUGUGUGAUUCUACAGAGUUCUCAGAGAGAGGUGCUGUGUGAUUCUACAGAGUUCUCAGAGAGGUGCUGUGAAUUUCUAUAGAGUUCUCAGAGAGGUGUUGUGUAAUUCUG
Oenanthe melanoleuca is the source of this 6305-nucleotide long non-coding RNA. RefSeq lists it as uncharacterized. The record is from RefSeq and is a predicted model, not a curated record. NCBI's taxonomy places the organism in Eukaryota, Metazoa, Chordata, Aves, Passeriformes, Muscicapidae. The transcript has 3 exons.